UCCCGUGCCUUCUCUCCCGUGCUCUCCCCUCCCCCGAUCCCUUCCUUCCCUCCCGCCGCGCCGCCGGCUCCAUCCUCUUCUUCGCACGCGACGGCCGACGCUGCCUUCUCUCCCCGGCGCUUGAGGUGCAGCAGUGGGGGCGGCAGUUCUCGGUCCAGCCGAGUCGGGCGCAGGUCACCGGCAUCACGCGCCGCACACCAUGAUUCUGGAUUGGGCGCAGAUCUUCGCGCCGCCACCUCUCCUACUCCUUCUCGUCCUCCUCUCUCUCUCUCCCAUGCCGCCACCAUUGCAAGGAGCAGGGGAGGGUGGCGACCGAGGAUCCCGAGCCCCGGCCCCAGACCCUAGCUGUCGGGGAGCUGGUCUGGGCCAAGACCAAGGGCCGCCACCCGCGCGCCUCCACUCCCCCUCCCAGAAUCCCCCCUCGUCUCCUCUCCCCGCCACCACCGUCAACCCCUUCCUCGCCGCCCACGAUGCCGACGCCCUCACAAGGGCCAACACCGGCCUUGCCUUCGUUCCCCACAAGUUCCUUGACGCCCUCGGCAGCGUGGCCAUCGACGAACCCGCCGUCAGGCUGCUGGACCGCGCCCGGCUUGAGAGCUGGGUCCGGGCGCUCGCCCAGGGAUGGGGCCCCAACCGUCCCGGCCGCUACCGGCGCCACACCAAAGGUGAGCUCAUCGACAAGAUUGACAUUGACAUGCUGGCCGACGAUGGUGCAGCUUCGGAAGAGGAGGAUGAGAAGAAAGAGAGGGUGAGAAGAGUCUAAUUCUGGUCAAGAGCCCCACCUCCCUUUGAUUUGUGUUGGUAUAUGUGUUUGCUGUUGGUUCUGCUGCUGCCAAGCUUGGCUGCUGCUUGGCCUGACUCUACUUGUGUUGCUAAUAUGUGCUACUAUAUGUUGUUGGUUGCCUCCUUAUUUGGUUAUUUGUGAAUCUAGAAACACUGUGUGAGAAGCAAGGAUUGAAAAGAAGGCUAUGAGCCAAUGAGAAGAGCUUCAUUUUCAGUUCAGUUUUUUGUAAGAAUUGAUGAAUGACAUGGUAUAUGUUCAGUUGCUAACAUUCUCUCUAUGGUGUAUGCACUUGUCGUUCCUUGCACUAGAGGGAGAGGAAAACUCUCUGUGAGAAGAAAGGAUUGAACAGAAGGCUUAUGAGCCAUUGAGAAAAACUAUACUUUUAGUUUUUUAUUAAGAAUUGAUGAAGGAUAUGUCAUAUGUUCAGUUCCUUACAUUUUUCUAUGGUGUAUGUACACUGCAUUCGAGGGAGAGGACGGCAAGAGUAAGAAAGCCUUGCGGCAUGAAGGCAGUAGCACGCAGGGCCAAAUCAAGUGCAUUGACCUCAAUGGCAAGAGACCAGUACCGUCAGGUUCGCUUGACUGCUUGCUAGGUUUCAUGCCUUAUUCCUUUUCAUAUAGGAAAUAUAAAGUGCACAUAUAGAAGAGCCCAUAUUGGGCAUCCUUUUCUUUUUAGUUUUUGGAAUCCUUGGAAAGGGUGUUAUAUAUUUUCAUAAUUCUUACCACUUAUUUAUCUUUUUUAGCAGCAUAGAUUUAAAUGUAGUAACAAGUGUUUAUGCUUUGCAGCCCGGCAUCAAACAAUACCCUUAACAAAGCUACACAAUGGAUGCUAUUUGUCAUAUUUUGACCUAUGAAUCUGUUUGAAUAGAUUAUACAGGAUUGAUGUGGUUAUCAGAUGAUUGCAGUCUACCCUAGGAUUUGCAGAGAUCAAUGAGGAUUCGGGCGGCAUGAAGGGGACUGGUGAUAGGAAACAUGGAUCCAAGAAGAAAUCAAACAACAUGGUGAGUUGUUCUCCCUUUUCAAAUUUGAAACCUAGACUAGAGUCGGUCAAUUGUAAUUUAGUAACAUGAUUAGGAUAGUAUAAUAUUUUGCUACUACCUUGCUGAUAGUUUUGCAGGGUAAUUCUGUCGGCUAUAUAUGUGUUUAUUUUUUAUUGUAGUGAGAUCACUUAUUUUUAUUUAGAAAAUAGAAACCUGAAGUGUGGCUAUAAGAAUCUAAUAGCAGAUGUUCUUCGCAUGAACAAGCUGUGUAAUGUACCUACUGACUAAUAGCAUAAUCAUGACUUGGCUUGCCCGGUUUUACUCUGCGAAGAGUAGUAUGUGGUGCUCUAAUAUUCAACUGUGUUCUUGAAUUGGGAAUUAUGUUUUUAUAAAGUGCUUGUGUGUUGGUCUGAUGUAUAUAAGUUAAAGAAAAUAAAAAACAGAUGGAGGAAGGGAACUUCUUGCUUUUCUUUUCCUUUUGUUUCUCUGUUUGAUAAUUACUCCCUACGAUGAGAAGGUUUACGAAUAGAAAUGUCCUACUCUUUGAUCCCUUUUAGUGUGAGCGGCUCGACGGCAAGCAUGACCGUCUGCUCCAUGCUUUAUUGGUUGUGUCUUUGGCUCCGUGUGCGUUGCGCCACAUACGUGUUUGUUGCUUGCGUGCUGCUGCUGUGUGUAUGGUGUGUUGGCUUGAUGUGUGUGUGGGCGCGCGCACGCACUAGCUAGGUGAGGAUCACUGGCUCACUGCUCUCUCUAUGUACUCCCUCCAUUCCAAAAUAGAUGACUCAACUUUGUACUAACUUUAAUACAAAGUUGAGUUAUCUAUUUUGGAACGGAGGGAGUAGCUUCUUAGGAGGAAAAAUACUUUGCCGCUGGUCUGCAUCAUGCUUCUAGCAUCUUUCCAGGCAGGUAGAUGUUUCCAAGAUCAAGAGAGAAAAGGUCCUUGCAUGCAUAUACUUUUAGAUGACACAUGACCAGAAGUCUUUCCUAUUAAAAUCAUGUGGCCUUGUGACACCCCGACCCUUUUCUUCAGAAAUUUGUAAUGUGUUUACGCAUGUCUGUUGUGAUGUGCAUAGGAGCAUGAUUUGUUCUGGCACUUUAGGCAUUAGCACACCUAUAAUACAGGUGGCGCGCGUGUGUGUUUGAAGUGUCAGUGCUUGUGUGUAGGAAGUCUAAUAGGGUGGGUUUCGAUUUCUUUUGACUUUCUGAUCAGCCCAAUUGGCCUGGGCUGCGUGUAAGCUUUGUCCUGACGAGGAAGCUGACUGUGCAUCAUCAGUUUAACACCAUCAGCUGGAUCUUUGAAGCCAUCCAACGCUCAACUUUAGUGACUGGUGUAGCGACCCAGGAUUUUAUCCUAAACUGCUAUUAAACUCACAAGAGGGAGCAUUUUAAUAACAAAAGAACUCUACCAUGCUUUCUGAUAUAUACUCCUGCGUAUAUAUAUGUUGUACUAGAAGUUCCUAUGUUUUAACUAUUGCGUACCAGAAAAUUGAAUUGGCAAUGUCUGCAUAGAUAUGAUGUAUUAAAUUAUGUUUUGAAAGGGAUUUGUUCAUUUUCAAAACUAAGGAAGUUGGGUGAGCUUAAAACACCCAUUCCUUAGUUCAGUGAACUUUUCUAAUUGUAUUUUAAAUCCACAAGAGGGCAAAAUCAUUGCUCUUUCCCAGAUCAUCUAAAUCAGAUGGGUGGGCUCCAAACUCCCAGUGCCAUUUGUCGUUUUUGUGUUUUGAUUUUUACUUGAGUGCCUUUGGACCGAUGGUACUAUGGAGAGGUGACAUUAACACCAUUGCUGGUUGCUUCUCUCCUGUAGACUACAUCUCCUUCUAUAUGUCAAUAUAUCAACAAAACAAGAGAUCUAUAAUAUCAUUGUUUAUGGAGUUCACAGAUUAUUGAAUAUUUUUGCUGCCAUGGAAUUGUGAGUUUGUGACUAUACAUUCUUGUGUCCUACAUGUGAAUUGAAGAUAUAUUGUCUAUGUGAAUGUAAAUAUCCAGGUAUGUAGGCAAGUCCUAACUUUUAUGCACAUAUUUACCUAUGAAAUGCAUGCAAGCAAA
Molecule: long non-coding RNA, 3809 nt
Organism: Triticum aestivum (bread wheat)
Lineage: Eukaryota; Viridiplantae; Streptophyta; Magnoliopsida; Poales; Poaceae
Exons: 2
Source: RefSeq, a predicted model, not a curated record